Molecule: long non-coding RNA, 558 nt
Organism: Epinephelus lanceolatus (giant grouper)
Lineage: Eukaryota; Metazoa; Chordata; Actinopteri; Perciformes; Serranidae
Source: RefSeq, a predicted model, not a curated record
UUUGCAUGUAAACUGGAGAUGUUGUGGACAUUAUGUGCAGAGAUCAGAACAUUUGAAAUGAUGCAUCUGCAGUCUGUGGAUAUCUACAGAUGUAAUAAUGUGUUUGGACUAAAUAUCUCACUGAAUUUGGAUCGUCUGGACCUUUGAGAGUGUAUCAGGACCAUUUCUGUGAGAAUAUUAUCGAUCUGUGGAUCAUGACAAGGUUUCAUAGACCCAGAGACGUCUUCUGCUGCAGCAGGCCUCGGUUCUCCAGGGUGAUGUGGUCGAUCUGCUGGCCCAGCUCCUCUUUCUCCGCCUCCAGGCCCUCUAAGUGCUCCUGCCAAAACAGGACAUGAAACAGGAAAAGGAAGCAGUUAAAAAAAGCCACAGAGAGCAUUCUCACAGCAUUGCACUGUUAAGUGUGAAACUCAGUGAUGCUGGGAACAGCUUGGCCCCUUUAUCUCCAUCUAGUGGGCAUCUCUCAAUACUACAACAGCCUACUGUUACCCAGUAUGACAAGGUGACACCACUGACUGACGAGGCAUCAGAUUAAAUGUUAAAUAAAAGCUACACAACGCA